GACGAACGCUGGCGGCGUGCUUAAUACAUGCAAGUAGAACGCACAGUUUAUACGGUGGCUUGCUGCACCAAACACUUUGAUUAGCGAACGGGAGCGUAACGCGUAGGUAACCUGCCUGGCAGCGGGGGGUGACUAUUGGAGGAGAUACCUAACACCGCAUAAUAGUGAUUGUUGCAUGAUUUUUAGUUUAAGGGUGCACUUGCACCCCUACAACAUGUUCCUGCGUUGGAUUAGUUAGUAGGCGAGGUCACGGAGCACCUAGGCGAGGAUACAUAGCCGACCGGAGAGGGUGAGCGGCCGGCCUGGGACGGAGACACGGCACAGACGCCUACGGGAGGCAGCAGUAGGGAAUCGGCGGCAAUGGGCGAGAGUCUGACCGAGCAACGCGGAGUGAGUGCAGAAGGUUUUCGGAUCGUAAAGCUCGGUUGUAAGAGAAGAACGGGUGUGAGGGAGGAAAGUUCAGAAUGUGACGGUAUCUUACGAGAAAGGGACGGCUAACUACGUG
RNAcentral lists this ribosomal RNA (505 nucleotides) under uncultured bacterium. RNAcentral describes it as "partial 16S ribosomal RNA". It matches the Rfam family "Bacterial small subunit ribosomal RNA", at positions 28 to 507 of the family's 1533-position model. The record is from RNAcentral.